This 2903-nucleotide ribosomal RNA is filed under the name Escherichia coli. Its description in RNAcentral is "23S ribosomal RNA". It matches the Rfam family "Bacterial large subunit ribosomal RNA". Lineage: Bacteria; Pseudomonadati; Pseudomonadota; Gammaproteobacteria; Enterobacterales; Enterobacteriaceae. The record is from RNAcentral.
GGUUAAGCGACUAAGCGUACACGGUGGAUGCCCUGGCAGUCAGAGGCGAUGAAGGACGUGCUAAUCUGCGAUAAGCGUCGGUAAGGUGAUAUGAACCGUUAUAACCGGCGAUUUCCGAAUGGGGAAACCCAGUGUGAUUCGUCACACUAUCAUUAACUGAAUCCAUAGGUUAAUGAGGCGAACCGGGGGAACUGAAACAUCUAAGUACCCCGAGGAAAAGAAAUCAACCGAGAUUCCCCCAGUAGCGGCGAGCGAACGGGGAGCAGCCCAGAGCCUGAAUCAGUGUGUGUGUUAGUGGAAGCGUCUGGAAAGGCGUGCGAUACAGGGUGACAGCCCCGUACACAAAAAUGCACAUAUUGUGAGCUCGAUGAGUAGGGCGGGACACGUGGUAUCCUGUCUGAAUAUGGGGGGACCAUCCUCCAAGGCUAAAUACUCCUGACUGACCGAUAGUGAACCAGUACCGUGAGGGAAAGGCGAAAAGAACCCCGGCGAGGGGAGUGAAAAAGAACCUGAAACCGUGUACGUACAAGCAGUGGGAGCACGCUUAGGCGUGUGACUGCGUACCUUUUGUAUAAUGGGUCAGCGACUUAUAUUCUGUAGCAAGGUUAACCGAAUAGGGGAGCCGAAGGGAAACCGAGUCUUAACUGGGCGUUAAGUUGCAGGGUAUAGACCCGAAACCCGGUGAUCUAGCCAUGGGCAGGUUGAAGGUUGGGUAACACUAACUGGAGGACCGAACCGACUAAUGUUGAAAAAUUAGCGGAUGACUUGUGGCUGGGGGUGAAAGGCCAAUCAAACCGGGAGAUAGCUGGUUCUCCCCGAAAGCUAUUUAGGUAGCGCCUCGUGAAUUCAUCUCCGGGGGUAGAGCACUGUUUCGGCAAGGGGGUCAUCCCGACUUACCAACCCGAUGCAAACUGCGAAUACCGGAGAAUGUUAUCACGGGAGACACACGGCGGGUGCUAACGUCCGUCGUGAAGAGGGAAACAACCCAGACCGCCAGCUAAGGUCCCAAAGUCAUGGUUAAGUGGGAAACGAUGUGGGAAGGCCCAGACAGCCAGGAUGUUGGCUUAGAAGCAGCCAUCAUUUAAAGAAAGCGUAAUAGCUCACUGGUCGAGUCGGCCUGCGCGGAAGAUGUAACGGGGCUAAACCAUGCACCGAAGCUGCGGCAGCGACACUAUGUGUUGUUGGGUAGGGGAGCGUUCUGUAAGCCUGUGAAGGUGUACUGUGAGGUAUGCUGGAGGUAUCAGAAGUGCGAAUGCUGACAUAAGUAACGAUAAAGCGGGUGAAAAGCCCGCUCGCCGGAAGACCAAGGGUUCCUGUCCAACGUUAAUCGGGGCAGGGUGAGUCGACCCCUAAGGCGAGGCCGAAAGGCGUAGUCGAUGGGAAACAGGUUAAUAUUCCUGUACUUGGUGUUACUGCGAAGGGGGGACGGAGAAGGCUAUGUUGGCCGGGCGACGGUUGUCCCGGUUUAAGCGUGUAGGCUGGUUUUCCAGGCAAAUCCGGAAAAUCAAGGCUGAGGCGUGAUGACGAGGCACUACGGUGCUGAAGCAACAAAUGCCCUGCUUCCAGGAAAAGCCUCUAAGCAUCAGGUAACAUCAAAUCGUACCCCAAACCGACACAGGUGGUCAGGUAGAGAAUACCAAGGCGCUUGAGAGAACUCGGGUGAAGGAACUAGGCAAAAUGGUGCCGUAACUUCGGGAGAAGGCACGCUGAUAUGUAGGUGAAGUCCCUCGCGGAUGGAGCUGAAAUCAGUCGAAGAUACCAGCUGGCUGCAACUGUUUAUUAAAAACACAGCACUGUGCAAACACGAAAGUGGACGUAUACGGUGUGACGCCUGCCCGGUGCCGGAAGGUUAAUUGAUGGGGUUAGCGCAAGCGAAGCUCUUGAUCGAAGCCCCGGUAAACGGCGGCCGUAACUAUAACGGUCCUAAGGUAGCGAAAUUCCUUGUCGGGUAAGUUCCGACCUGCACGAAUGGCGUAAUGAUGGCCAGGCUGUCUCCACCCGAGACUCAGUGAAAUUGAACUCGCUGUGAAGAUGCAGUGUACCCGCGGCAAGACGGAAAGACCCCGUGAACCUUUACUAUAGCUUGACACUGAACAUUGAGCCUUGAUGUGUAGGAUAGGUGGGAGGCUUUGAAGUGUGGACGCCAGUCUGCAUGGAGCCGACCUUGAAAUACCACCCUUUAAUGUUUGAUGUUCUAACGUUGACCCGUAAUCCGGGUUGCGGACAGUGUCUGGUGGGUAGUUUGACUGGGGCGGUCUCCUCCUAAAGAGUAACGGAGGAGCACGAAGGUUGGCUAAUCCUGGUCGGACAUCAGGAGGUUAGUGCAAUGGCAUAAGCCAGCUUGACUGCGAGCGUGACGGCGCGAGCAGGUGCGAAAGCAGGUCAUAGUGAUCCGGUGGUUCUGAAUGGAAGGGCCAUCGCUCAACGGAUAAAAGGUACUCCGGGGAUAACAGGCUGAUACCGCCCAAGAGUUCAUAUCGACGGCGGUGUUUGGCACCUCGAUGUCGGCUCAUCACAUCCUGGGGCUGAAGUAGGUCCCAAGGGUAUGGCUGUUCGCCAUUUAAAGUGGUACGCGAGCUGGGUUUAGAACGUCGUGAGACAGUUCGGUCCCUAUCUGCCGUGGGCGCUGGAGAACUGAGGGGGGCUGCUCCUAGUACGAGAGGACCGGAGUGGACGCAUCACUGGUGUUCGGGUUGUCAUGCCAAUGGCACUGCCCGGUAGCUAAAUGCGGAAGAGAUAAGUGCUGAAAGCAUCUAAGCACGAAACUUGCCCCGAGAUGAGUUCUCCCUGACUCCUUGAGAGUCCUGAAGGAACGUUGAAGACGACGACGUUGAUAGGCCGGGUGUGUAAGCGCAGCGAUGCGUUGAGCUAACCGGUACUAAUGAACCGUGAGGCUUAACCUU